GGGGGUGUUCUGGAUUCGACCCAUGAUUGGCGCGUAGAGCUGCCCUUCGAGAGUUGAGGGUCUCUCGUUAAAUCCCCUUCAAAACAAAAAUAAACGGCACUUACGAAGAAAUGCCCCUGGCAGCCUAAAUACGGCUCCUCGUUCGCCCGCUGACACCUGCUAGGUGAAGCGAACGUCGAUUAGCAGGCACGUUGGACCGGGCUAUCUGCGGCCGGACCAGCCUCUCUUCAUUCCGUGGGUUGGUUGACGCUUAAGCGCGUGCAGUCGCGUAACGACAACGAGAUAAAAACGGCACUAUAAGGGUAGAUGUUUUACGCAAAGGUUACGGGCACGCGGGUUCAACUCCCGCCACCUCCACCA
Molecule: transfer-messenger RNA, 360 nt
Filed under: Opitutaceae bacterium TAV3
Lineage: Bacteria; Pseudomonadati; Verrucomicrobiota; Opitutia; Opitutales; Opitutaceae
Also listed under: 1 other name
Rfam family: transfer-messenger RNA
About the family: Bacterial tmRNA, also known as 10Sa RNA or SsrA, is named for its dual tRNA and mRNA-like properties.
Source: RNAcentral